UAUUAGUAACGUUUGGUUUGUUUAGUUCAAGACAACCCCGGUUUUGUAAUUUCAAAAUUAACAAUCAUUCUCUCUGGUUCGGUUUUUGUUUACUAAUAAAUGGGCUUUUUCUAAAGCCUACGAAAUAUAAAUUUUUGUUUACGGUGAUUAUAGUUUCUUCAAUAUUAAAAGCCCAAAAGUAAAAGUCACUAAAUUCGUCAUAAUCCACAGCAAAAUCUAUAGAUUUCUUUCUUAAUAAAAAGUUAUAGUCCACAGCAAAAUCUAUAGAUUUCUUUCCUGAUAAAAAGUCAUAGUCCACAAAAAAAUCUUGACUUUGAAAUUAGUCAUAAUCCACAGCGAAAUCUAUAGAUUUCUUUCUCUAAAAGAACAUGGAUUUCAAUUAUUUAUAUUAAUCUUUUACACUUGAUAAUCGAAUAAUUUCAUUGAGCAUGGCCAAUUAGAUUUCAAGUUCAGGGUUCUCCACUUGAUACUCAUCGAUCAUUAGACUAUCGAAUUCAUCAUCUCCGAACCUGAACGUUUCAGUCGUCACCAAUCAAAAACACUUCCACCUUCUUCUCUGAUCAUAAUAAUCUUAGGAAAACAUGGUGGAGCUCUAUUGUAUCUGUGGAAAAUGGAUACAAAAUGACAGGGCUCAAUGGGAGUUUGUAGUAGAUACCACAAGACUGGGGUCACUCUCUGAGAUUGAUCAAAACGUUCCUUUCAAUGUUUUAGUUACGACUGUUACCGAAGAUUUGGAUGUCCCUGAUAAAGACAUUGCACUCAGCUAUGGAGUUCCACUGGAUGCGAGAUGUGCGAAACCCAUGAUACAGAACACUCCACCGGUCGAUAUACGGAACGAUCGCCAACUAAGAGCUUACAUGAACAAGAUCAAAGAAGAAGGUGAUAGGCGUCGCAAUCCUCCGUGUAUUCCUUUGUGUGUAGCUCUAUUUGACAAACCCAAACCCAGAUUCAGCUGUUCAUUGGGAAGAUUGUUUUCUAAGGAGCCAUGAACUUUCAAAUUUGGUUGAAAUAAAACCUCAGUUUUUAUUCAGACCAAAAAAUAAUCAUUCAAUUUUUGUUGACAUGCUAUUUUAAUCAUAAACUUUCGUUGACCA
This is a long non-coding RNA of Brassica napus (rape), 1094 nucleotides long. RefSeq lists it as uncharacterized. NCBI's taxonomy places the organism in Eukaryota, Viridiplantae, Streptophyta, Magnoliopsida, Brassicales, Brassicaceae. The transcript has 2 exons. The record is from RefSeq and is a predicted model, not a curated record.